This 599-nucleotide long non-coding RNA is filed under the name Homo sapiens (human). RNAcentral's name for it is "HSALNT0336838". The record is from RNAcentral. Lineage: Eukaryota; Metazoa; Chordata; Mammalia; Primates; Hominidae.
GUCAUUUAGAAGCUUGCUAAAAAUGUAGCAAGAGGCCAGGAUUAUUUUUAGUUGGAAAAGCUUCAUUUACUUCUCACAAGGUACAGGAGAGGAGAACACCUUUAAAAAUGGAGACCUAUGUCACUUUUACAAAGGAAAAUUUAUGCUGUGAUUUUAGGCAGAAAGUUGACACCAGAGAAUUCUUCCUGCUGCUUCUCAAUUUCCUUCAGCUCAAAAAUGAUCCUUAUGCCAAUAUGGAAUAUUUUUGGGGUGGCAUAUUCUGCUCCUCUUCAGCAUCCUUCCUGCUCUGUGGCCUGUUGUGCUUCAAUUUCGUCAUCUUCAAAACCAGGAAGAGCUAUAUUCAUCUUAUCUCACAAAGCUGAUUAACAUAAAUGAAGGAGCCUUGGAAAAUGGAAAGCAUUAUACAAAUAAACAUAGUCUCACUCUUUUUCCCAGGCUGGUCUCAAACUCCAGGGCUCAAGCAGUCCUCUGUCCUCAACCUCCCAAAGUGCUGGGACUACAGUAGGGUAUAACCACAUGACUAAUGUCACAUAUAAAAAUGGAGAACGGGUGCACAUUAAAGAGUAGAGGUGCCUUCCACCAUGACUGUAAGUUUCCUG